This is a non-coding RNA of Ixodes scapularis (black-legged tick), 82 nucleotides long. Lineage: Eukaryota; Metazoa; Arthropoda; Arachnida; Ixodida; Ixodidae. The record is from Rfam.
GCAGUCGUGGCCGAGCAGUUAAGGGGAUGGACUAGAAGUCCAUUGGGGUCUCCCCACACAGGUUGGAAUCCUGUCGGCUGCG